This 2493-nucleotide long non-coding RNA is filed under the name Olea europaea subsp. europaea. Lineage: Eukaryota; Viridiplantae; Streptophyta; Magnoliopsida; Lamiales; Oleaceae. The record is from RNAcentral.
CAAAAUGUAAGAAGAAACCACAGUUUCUUCACUUGAAUUUUCUUUCGCCUCCCUUUACAAAAAAAUUGCUCUCCUCACAAUCUCUCAAAUUGUAUACAAAAUACAAUACAUACAUCACUAAGACUUAUACAAAGAUUGGAAAUCACACGAAACAGAAAGAUCUCUCAAAGGAGACGAAGAGAAAACCCUAAAAAAUGAGACUGGUCAUGCUAUGAAGGGUCACAGGAGACUUUUAUAGUCCAACCAAGGAGUCUAGAUCCAAUGGUCACAACAAGACCAGAUGUAGGGCUAACAAUCAAUCUCACAAUUUAGAGGAAAAAGGCGCAUUUCUAAGAAUGUGUUUUACUUAAGGAUAAAACUCGGUGACCUAACAGUGUGGCCCAAUGACAAUGAGAAUUGGCCUGAUCCAAUAAUAGAAGGUAGCCCACAACAAUCUCCACCUUGCUAAUCCACUCUUGGGAUUCUUUUGUGAAUUCAAGACCAUUUACUUGUUUUAUUUGCUCUACAAAACUCAUAAAAAGAAACAAUUAGUUUAUAUUCAAAAUUAAGGUAGAAUAAAAAAUUGAAAUUGUAUCUAUUGCCUUUAAGAUAUGUUAAUAAUUUUCAAACAAUUUUUGAAAUUGUUUAAGGGCAGAACUUUAGUACCAAUAUUAGAAGGACUAAAUUUUAAUUGAAAUUUUAACUAGGUUAAUUAGACCCUUUUCAACCAUAUUUCUAACAAAGUGAAAUUUAAUGUCAACAUUCUUAAUCCUAUCAUGAUAUAAAGGAUUUUUGCUUAAAUGAAUUGCACUUUGGUUAUCUAUAUAAAUUUUAACAACUUCAUUUAUAAUACCAAUUUUACUUAACAAGCCCCUUAACCAUAAUACUUAUUUGAUAACAUCACAUGUUGCAACAUACUCAACUUCAGUAGAAGAUGAAGCUAUAGCUUUUUGUAAUUGAGACUUGCAACUAAUACAGCCAUCACAAAGAGUAAACACAAAAGAAAAAAUCGAUCUUCUUUUAUCUAAGUCACCUGUAAAAUUAGAAUCUGUAUAACUCUUUUAACACAUUCAUUACAUUUUUGAAAUUUGAAUCCCAGUUCAGUUGGGCCUUUUAAGUAUCUAAUCAUCCAUUUUAUUGCUAACCAACGAGUUUUACCUGAAUUAGCCAUAAAUCUACUAAGAAUACUUAUUUCAUGAAAUAAAUCAGGUCUAGUGCAUAUCAAAGCCAACAAAAAUUUCGAUAGAAAUGUAUUUAGCAACAGGUGAAAAUAUUUCAUUAUAGUCAAUGCCCUCUCUCUGUGUAAAGUCUUUUGCUACAAGUCUGACCUUAUAUCUUAUACUCCCAGAAUCACCUUCUUUAAUUUUGUAAAUAUAUUUACAAUUAAUAACCUUUUGAUGUUUAGGUCCAUUGAUAGGGAUCCAUGAUUUAUUCAUAGUUAAUGAAUCCAUGUCUUCUUUAAUGGCUUCCAGCCAAAAUUAUGAUUCUUUACAGUUUAUUAGCUUCUUCAAAGGUGGUAGAAUCAAAAUUAACAUAUUCAAGCUCAAUAUAGAAAGUCACAAAUUCAUCUUUGUUGAUUUUGGUAGAAGAGAACCAAUUUCUUCUACCUCUGUCCCUGGUCAAUUGAUAAUUUUCAAGAGCAAUUUUUUGAGAUUGAUUUUCAGUAUCUGAUUCAUCUUGAGACUGAUUUAUAUCAGAUUGAGCAGUCUCCACCUCAAUCAAAUUAUCAGGUUCAGUAAGAUCAUUUUCCAGGUAUUCAAGGAUAGUUUCUUUAUUAGGGGUUAUUCCAUUAAUGUUUUGAUCUGAUGAAUUCUUGUAAGGGAACUUACUUCAUCAAAGAUUACAUUUCUAAUAAUAAUGACUCUGAACCCAUCUUUACCUUUUACCCACAAUCUAUAACCCUUUGUUUUUUCUCCAUAACCUAGAAAAAUACAUUUUUGAGAUCUGUGUUCAAGUUUGUCAACAUCUUGAUGAGAAUAGGUAGCACAACCAAAAACCCUUAGUUUAAAACAAUUUGGAGACUUUUCAGACCACAAGGAUUCAGGGACUUGAAAAUCAAUAGUACUUGAGAGAAUUCUAUUUAUCAGAUAAGUGGCAGUUUUCAAUGCUCUCUUCAAAAGAAUUUUGGAAGUCUAGAACUUAGUAACAUACAUCUAACAUUUUCCAACAAGGUUCUAUUAAUCCUUUUAGCGAUACCAUUCUGCUAAGGAGUGUAUGUUACUGUUCUGCGACUCAAAAUUCUAGAUUCUUUACAAAGGGAGUCAAAUUCAAAGUUACAAAAUUCAAGCCCAUUAUCCGUUCUAAGUGUUUUGGUCUACUUAUUUGUCUAAUUUUUUAUUAUAAGUUUCCAUUGCUUAAAAGUUUGGAAAGUAUCAGAUCUAUGUUUUAAAAGAAGGUCCAAAUUUUUCUUAAAAAAUCAUCUACAGUCAACAAAUAAAAUUUGAAACCACUUAGAGUACUUACUAAUGCCAGACCCCAUAGGUCAACAUGUAAAUACUCAAGUGUAGAGGUGGA